CCGGCGGGGCGGUCAAGGCCCAUGUCCGGGAGGAGCUCGCAAAUGGGCGUGUCCCAAUCGCCAUCAGAAUAAGGGGUCCUCAUCCAUCGUGAGUGUAGUUGAACCAAUAGAAUGUUCUGCUUGAUAAUUAUUGCUCUCUAUUUCUUAACAGCCUUUCUUCAAUUUUCAUCCUCAGGUGCAGAAAAUAAAAAAAAAAUUCAAUUA
Long non-coding RNA from Oreochromis aureus, 204 nucleotides. RefSeq lists it as uncharacterized. The record is from RefSeq and is a predicted model, not a curated record. NCBI's taxonomy places the organism in Eukaryota, Metazoa, Chordata, Actinopteri, Cichliformes, Cichlidae. The transcript is spliced from 3 exons.